This 301-nucleotide long non-coding RNA is filed under the name Lynx canadensis (Canada lynx). Its description in RNAcentral is "lncRNA (ENSLCNG00005009128.1)". The record is from RNAcentral. Lineage: Eukaryota; Metazoa; Chordata; Mammalia; Carnivora; Felidae.
CCCUUCCUUGCGGCGGUGCCAGGCUCUGGAGGCGGGCAGGCAUCUGGGGGCGACUGGGGCGCCACGCCCCUCUUCCCUACUUUCUUCCGGCUCUUUCUUGGGACUAGCGGGCGGGCUAGCAGCCCCGGAACCCGCUCGCCGCUGGGUCUAGCGGGGAGAUAGCGGGUGGGGGGGGGAGAACCCACCUCACAUGUUCCGCGAGGGACCCCCACCAGUGAGUGGCUCUGAGACGCUAUUUGCAGAUUCAUUCUACCACUUCCAACCUGAAAACGGUGGGCCACAGGAAGUCUUUCUGGUUUCA